This 253-nucleotide ribosomal RNA is filed under the name uncultured bacterium. Its description in RNAcentral is "partial 16S ribosomal RNA". It matches the Rfam family "Bacterial small subunit ribosomal RNA", at positions 524 to 776 of the family's 1533-position model. The record is from RNAcentral.
UACGGGGGGGGCAAGCGUUGUUCGGAAUUACUGGGCGUAAAGGGCCUGUAGGUGGCCAACUAAGUCAGACGUGAAAUCCCUCAGCUUAACUGGGGAACUGCUUCUGAUACUGGAUGGCUUGAGUUUGGGAGAGGGAUGCGGAAUUCCAGGUGUAGCGGUGAAAUGCGUAGAUAUCUGGAGGAACACCGGUGGCGAAGGCGGCAUCCUGGACCAACACUGACACUGAAAAGCGAAAGCCAGGGGAGCAAACGGG